RNAcentral lists this ribosomal RNA (407 nucleotides) under uncultured microorganism. Its description in RNAcentral is "bacterial SSU rRNA". It matches the Rfam family "Bacterial small subunit ribosomal RNA", at positions 509 to 917 of the family's 1533-position model. The record is from RNAcentral.
CAGCCGCCGCGGUAAUACGUAGGGGGCGAGCGUUACCCGGAUUUACUGGGCGUAAAGGGGGCGUAGGCGGCCGUGAAAGUCCGGUGUGAAAACUCACGGCUCAACCGUGGGACUGCGCUGGAAACUACACGGCUUGAGGACGGUAGAGGGAGACGGAACUGCUGGUGUAGGGGUGAAAUCCGUAGAUAUCAGCAGGAACGCCGGUGGAGAAGUCGGUCUCCUGGGCCGUUCCUGACGCUGAGGCCCGAAAGCUAGGGGAGCAAACCGGAUUAGAUACCCGGGUAGUCCUAGCCGUAAACGAUGCCCACUAGGUGUGGGGGAGUAAUUCCUCCGUGCUGAAGCUAACGCGAUAAGUGGGCCGCCUGGGGAGUAUGUCCGCAAGGGUGAAACUUAAAGGAAUUGGCGGG